AGUCGCUAUUCUCUACUGUACGUCAACUUCACUGAUCACUGUGACUUUAUUGUACGCACUCGGUAAGUUUCGCCUGUACUAUAUUUUUCGUUACUGGUUUUUCAGUGUAAACCAUUUACUAGUAUCAUUUAUUCUAGUAAAUGGUAUUGUAUAAUUUCUUUAGGUUGUGAUUAUCUGCUCAUUUGUAUGCUUGUUUCGCGACACGGUCACAAGAUCACGAGCGUCGUUAUCGCCAAACGUCUACACGCAAGUCAACGUUCACCGUCUUUAUGGCGCCGGCUGCCAAAAAAAAAAGUGAGUAUAUAGUAAACAAUUAACGGCCGCAUAGAUCGUAGCCACAGUUCCGGAUAUUAUGUCUUAUCCGGACAUUAUCUGUCUG
Cinara cedri is the source of this 379-nucleotide non-coding RNA. The record is from the annotation of a GenBank genome assembly. NCBI's taxonomy places the organism in Eukaryota, Metazoa, Arthropoda, Insecta, Hemiptera, Aphididae.